UAAGGAAUAUUGGUCAAUGGACGCAAGUCUGAACCAGCCAUGCCGCGUGAAGGAUGAAGGUCCUACGGAUUGUAAACUGCUUUUGUACGGGAAAAAACCUCAGGUUUCUACCUGAGUUGAUGGUACCGUAAGAAUAAGGAUCGGCUAACUCCGUGCCAGCAGCCGCGGUAAUACGGAGGAUCCAAGCGUUAUCCGGAUUCACUGGGUUUAAAGGGUGCGUAGGUGGAAUGACAAGUCAGUGGUGAAAUCUUGCAGCUUAACUGUAAAACUGCCAUUGAUACUGUUAUUCUUGAGUACAUUUGAUGUGAGCGGAAUGUGUCGUGUAGCGGUGAAAUGCUUAGAUAUGACACAGAACACCAAUUGCGAAGGCAGCUCACAAAACUGUAACUGACACUGAGGCACGAAAGCGUGGGGAUCAAACAGGAUUAGAUACCCCCGUAGUCC
Molecule: ribosomal RNA, 444 nt
Filed under: uncultured bacterium
Lineage: Bacteria
Description: bacterial SSU rRNA
Rfam family: Bacterial small subunit ribosomal RNA
Source: RNAcentral